This 484-nucleotide ribosomal RNA is filed under the name Selenomonas sp. oral taxon F09. RNAcentral describes it as "bacterial SSU rRNA". It matches the Rfam family "Bacterial small subunit ribosomal RNA", at positions 28 to 484 of the family's 1533-position model. The record is from RNAcentral. Lineage: Bacteria; Bacillati; Bacillota; Negativicutes; Selenomonadales; Selenomonadaceae.
GACGAACGCUGGCGGCGUGCUUAACACAUGCAAGUCGAACGGAGCGAAUGAAAGCUUGCUUUUAUGAGCUUAGUGGCAAACGGGUGAGUAACACGUAGACAACCUGCCGAUCAGAUGGGGACAACAUUCCGAAAGGAAUGCUAAUACCGAAUGGUGUGCGGGGGAGGCAUCUCCCCCGCAUGAAAGACGGCCUAUACAUGUAAGCUAUCACUGAUUGAUGGGUCUGCGUCUGAUUAGCUGGUAGGUAAGGUAACGGCUUACCAAGGCGACGAUCAGUAGCCGGUCUGAGAGGAUGAACGGCCACAUUGGGACUGAGACACGGCCCAGACUCCUACGGGAGGCAGCAGUGGGGAAUCUUCCGCAAUGGGCGCAAGCCUGACGGAGCAACGCCGCGUGAGUGAAGAAGGUCUUCGGAUCGUAAAGCUCUGUUGAUGGGGACGAACGUGCGAAGGGUGAAUAAUCCUUUGUAAGGACGUACCUAUCG